Long non-coding RNA from Nicotiana tabacum (common tobacco), 1074 nucleotides. RefSeq lists it as uncharacterized. Lineage: Eukaryota; Viridiplantae; Streptophyta; Magnoliopsida; Solanales; Solanaceae. The record is from RefSeq and is a predicted model, not a curated record.
CACUCUCGAAUGAGAAACCCUAGCCGCCCCUUUUACCCUCGCCGUCUCCGCCGUAGUCCACCAAUCGGAAAUCGCCUCAUGGCGGCAGAACACCUCCAAACUCCACCAAAUUAACACCAGAUAACCACCAUAACCUCCUCAUCCUAUAUCUAUCACCGAUUUCUCCAAAAUCUUUACCCAUUUGCUCCAAUUUCAGAUCUAAAACUUUGAAAGAAAACCAAAACCCUAAACUGUCCUGUUCUCUUUGAUUAUUAUGGUUUCAAAGGUUAUGAUAAUCGAUUGUUCUUGACAAGAGCAAUCAAUUAGCGUCAGUUUUGGUUUAUUUCAAGACCUUCCGGACUCUGACCAAGCACCUACUGGCCCGCCAAAGCUCCAAGGCUUACAUAGCUCAUGCACCUGCCUUAGUAUAUCUUGUGCCUUGAAUUAUGAAUGAAAGCUUGUUUUGAAGAUAUUGCUGCCAUGGAGUUUUGGAAUUAUAUUUACAUUUUUAUUUCGUUCUGAUGUUUACUUCUGAGUAAUUCGAAUACUGUUCUUUUUUUGGCUUUUUUCUUAUUAGUUUCUGUUUAGUUACAUUAAAGUUUUUGCUGUGUGGAUUCAUGAAAUAGCCAGGAUGUUCAGUGUUGAAGGAUUUGAAUAGCACCUCUUGCAUAUGCUGAGUUUAGGUUAAGUAGUCUAGUUUAAAAUGUUAACUUUCAGUCUUUUCUACUUCUAUGUGAUUCUGUCCAGUUUUUUAAAUUUACUGUUUGGUAAUAUAUGAGCUUUUCAUGCUUGAGUAUUUUGGAUAAGUGCUGGGUAUAAUCAAAAUAGAACAUGAUUGAUGCUUGAGUACAUUUGGUUGAAGUGUUUCAGCACUACUACAGUGUGUAAAAUGAUUGUAUGUUCAUGUUGCUUCAUGAGCAACAAUUGUAGUCUUUUAGCGUUUCUACAGUGUUCAAAAGAAUUAUGUAUAUUGAAAAUGCAAUGUAUAGCUUUAAGCAUGUUCAGUUUUUCUUACUACUGCUAAUUCCAGCAUUUUUAACUAACCAUCUACAAUGAUUUAGGAACAGUUUUAAAGAUUCAAUUAUUUUUUUGUUA